UGUAUACUUGUCCCCUUUGUGUAUUGCUGCUAAUCUUUCUCUUUCUAGGUUCUGUUGGUUGCAUGCAGAUUGUGCCAGAUGAUUUAUCUGUCUAUGGUCUAAGCAUGGACUCUGUGCUAAUAUGCAAUGUGUGCUCUUUUUUCCCUCAGGUCAACAGCAGACAGGGUCCUUCCACAACCACAUACUUAUGCCAGUAAAAGCCACAGCUUUUCUCCUCCAAUCCAAGAAGCCUGGACUGCAGUCACCAUCUCAACACACCAACCAAGAGAAAGGCGGAUGGCUCAAUUCAAUAUGGAAAAUUGCACAAUAAAAGUUCCAGGACAUGAAGGCUGCAUACUGUGAACGUCAACCUUCAGGGCACCGUCCUGCGCAGAAGACUUUCUACCCUAAGAGGGAUGGCUGACCGCAGACACACAACCAGCACAGACGCCUCCAACCUCAGACUAGGCCCUUCACAGUUGCUGCUUUUACCCACCUUCCCAGAGUUUUUGUGUGGUAAUGACAACUGUAAAUAUAGUAUAAAGUAAUGUAUCUAGUGUCAUGUGUAAUACAUUGUUUAAAUUGUCCAUACAUUUCAAUGACAGUAAAUAUUGGUGGACACAAUUUGACUGUGUGGCUUUUUUUUAAUUCAUUCUCUGACUGAAAAUGCAUGGUUACAUAAUUUAUAUAUUCCACAAGACCACAAUCAGAAGAUUAUUUGACAGGUUGCAUUUAUUUUCUAUGUAUGAAAAAAACAAUGGUAACAAGACAAACGUGGUUCCAAACCAAAAAGGUGAGAUGUACAGAUGAAUGCUCCUACAGAUAAUGAAAAAUAAUAAAAGUCUGCACACUGCCGGUUUGUGUGUUUUAUACCGUACUCUGUAUAAACCUUUUAUAUUGCUCUAGUGGAGCAGGGUAACCCUGGCUAAUCCUGGGUAUUGUACUGUGUAUUACAACGUCAGCCCUGUUCAAGUGCCCCAUACUGUCUGUAGGCUGCAUGCCUGAAGAGACCGUUUCUCUCACCUGGUCCUACAUCAGCCCAAUGUCUUAUCAAAAAUGAGAACACCACAGCAUUUCCUUUCAAUGUUCAUGGGCAUCUCCUUACAGAUUGCGCAGAGGCGCCAGGUUGGUUGUGCUACUGGGCUGUGACUGAGGACCAGAUGUCAUGUGCCAGGUCGAACAUCAAACUGGGGUCACGGGUCAGGGCACGCUGUAGUAACCGAUGGGAUUGCUUCAAAUUCAAUGAUUGAAUCAAGGCCUGCAAAGCAAUAAAUACAUUUUAUGUAGUGCAUUUUCUAUUUGAUGAUGGGGACU
Long non-coding RNA from Engraulis encrasicolus (European anchovy), 1293 nucleotides. RefSeq lists it as uncharacterized. The record is from RefSeq and is a predicted model, not a curated record. NCBI's taxonomy places the organism in Eukaryota, Metazoa, Chordata, Actinopteri, Clupeiformes, Engraulidae. The transcript is spliced from 3 exons.